RNAcentral lists this ribosomal RNA (301 nucleotides) under uncultured bacterium. RNAcentral describes it as "partial 16S ribosomal RNA". It matches the Rfam family "Bacterial small subunit ribosomal RNA", at positions 509 to 809 of the family's 1533-position model. The record is from RNAcentral.
CAGCAGCCGCGGUAAUACGUAGGGUGCAAGCGUUAAUCGGAAUUACUGGGCGUAAAGCGUGCGCAGGCGGUUAUAUAAGACAGAUGUGAAAUCCCCGGGCUCAACCUGUGAACUGCAUUUGUGACUGUAUAGCUAGAGUACGGCAGAGGGGGAUGGAAUUCCGCGUGUAGCAGUGAAAUGCGUAGAUAUGCGGAGGAACACCGAUGGCGAAGGCAAUCCCCUGGGCCUGUACUGACGCUCAUGCACGAAAGCGUGGGGAGCAAACAGGAUUAGAUACCCCGGUAGUCCCUGUCUCUUAUAU